RNAcentral lists this long non-coding RNA (1532 nucleotides) under Anas platyrhynchos platyrhynchos (common mallard). Its description in RNAcentral is "lncRNA (ENSAPLG00000016729.1)". Lineage: Eukaryota; Metazoa; Chordata; Aves; Anseriformes; Anatidae. The record is from RNAcentral.
UCUGAGCACUGUGGCUUAGGUCCAGCUCUGCCUGGGUCUGACUCUUCAGAUAACAGAGGAUGCAAGUAGUUCUUCCUUUCUUAACCUCCUGGCUUAAUGUUAACCAUCUCCUGGUUGAGCAAGUAGGUUCUUGGCACAGAAAGGGCGAGAGCCACAGUGCAAAUCCUUUCCUCCCUGCUCUGCGUAUAUUUGGGAUGUAGGCUGUAAGAUUUUAUGCUCUUAUGGCACAUGGAGAAUGCUCUGGCACCAGGCUGAAGCACAUUGAUGGUCUCCCAUUAUAACUCCUUAGGAAAAUGAAAGAAGGUAAAAUACAUAUGCACCUGUAUGGGCACUGGGGACUAUCUGAGAGAUGGAUGCUGAUUCAUUCCACCCAAAAAAAGGUACAGAGAGAGCACAGAGUCAAUUGUCUUUUGCAUCUCUUUCCAUUGACUAUCAUCUAAACAAUAUCCCUCAGAGUGCUGACUCUCAGCAAGCUGAGAUUUAGGCAGAAGAAGAUGGGCAAAAGGCAUUGCACUCAGAGGACUAAGAUGGGAACAACAGGUGAUUCCUCUCAGGGCACAUUUCCUCCCAUUCUGGUGCAGUCAGUGUGCAGGGUCUAAUUCCUGGCAGCAUCCCCAUCACUUCCAUACUGCCAGCCCCUGUAUAGGGUAAGGGGCCAUUGAGACAAGAGUUAGUACGUGCCUACAGGUUAGUUUGGUUCUUGUUCAUACUGACAUCAGUAUAGAGUAACUCUUCCAACAGUUGAUCUCUCUUUAUAUUGCUGAUGCCCAGAAACCAGUGAAUGAAAUACUGUGAGUUUGGGAACUUCAAUUAGCAGUUCCUAAAAUGAUGAAAUCCUAAGAGGCAGAGAAUGCAAGCAGAAGGAAACCUAAAAUCUGGUUCCUGGUGGGAAUGGUCUCCUAGAAGUGAAUUUCCAUGCAGCUUUCUAAUUUCAGCAGAUAAGUCGUGACCACAACCUGUGGCUAAAGAUGACUAAACGGCACAGCGGGAUGCAUUUUGGCAGAGAAGGAAUGAGACAACAUGAUGGAUCCACUGCACAUCUACUCAUAAGAAGUUUUAUCCUGAGAUGGGACUUCAUUUUGCAAGGUGGAAGAUUUGAUUCUGAUCAACUUGAUGCUGGUGUAAAGGAAGAGCCAUGUCCUGGAACCAAAUGGAAACACCGUGAUACAAAGGACGAUGAGACCAGAAGUGAGCUCUAUUACUGGUAAAAGCAUCUCCCUUCUGAUGUAGCUGUCCUUGAAAGAUUCACAGAAAUUAUUGACUUUUCAGCUCCACACAUAUUUUGGGGCACAAGGGUAUUGGUAACAGAGAAAAUCAAUAUUCUCUUUUUGAGCUUGUUUCCUCUUCUCUUUUUUUUUUUGAGUCCAUAGCAAGGUGGGAAGAACUGCAGGUGACAAUGAAAUUGAGGUUCUUAAAUGCACCAAAAUGACAGAACAGUCUUGUGUGCAAGUAGAAGGGGGCACUUCUCUGCUAAACAAGUUGUCAAAAGCACUGCCUCUUAAUGCAGAACAAUAAAAUAAUCUUUUCAAACA